RNAcentral lists this ribosomal RNA (485 nucleotides) under uncultured bacterium. Its description in RNAcentral is "partial 16S ribosomal RNA". It matches the Rfam family "Bacterial small subunit ribosomal RNA", at positions 27 to 507 of the family's 1533-position model. The record is from RNAcentral.
GAUUGAACGCUGGCGGCAGGCCUAACACAUGCAAGUCGAGCGGAUGAAGGGAGCUUGCUCCUGGAUUCAGCGGCGGACGGGUGAGUAAUGCCUAGGAAUCUGCCUGGUAGUGGGGGAUAACGUCCGGAAACGGGCGCUAAUACCGCAUACGUCCUGAGGGAGAAAGUGGGGGAUCUUCGGACCUCACGCUAUCAGAUGAGCCUAGGUCGGAUUAGCUAGUUGGUGGGGUAAAGGCCUACCAAGGCGACGAUCCGUAACUGGUCUGAGAGGAUGAUCAGUCACACUGGAACUGAGACACGGUCCAGACUCCUACGGGAGGCAGCAGUGGGGAAUAUUGGACAAUGGGCGAAAGCCUGAUCCAGCCAUGCCGCGUGUGUGAAGAAGGUCUUCGGAUUGUAAAGCACUUUAAGUUGGGAGGAAGGGCAGUAAAUUAAUACCUUGCUGUUUUGACGUUACCAACAGAAUAAGCACCGGCUAACUUCGUG